Heterocephalus glaber (naked mole-rat) is the source of this 405-nucleotide long non-coding RNA. Lineage: Eukaryota; Metazoa; Chordata; Mammalia; Rodentia; Bathyergidae. The record is from Ensembl.
GAUUUCUCAGCUACUGCUCUAGUCCCAGGAGUUGCCCAAGUCCCGAAUAAAUUCUGUCUUGCUCAAACUUUUAAAAUUUAAUUCACCUAAGGAAUUUUCCUUUUAACAGUUUUCAUGUAGUUGGCAAGAACCAAAGUUGAACUCCAAUAGCCCAGGAGCAACCAGGCCUAGAUACUAGAAGUCUAUCCUGUUCCUGUCUUGCUGCAUCUGGGAAUUAUAGGAUGCUGGAAGUGUGUGCAAUAGAUGACCUUUCUCAUUCGACUUAAGAUGACCUGUCUCAUUCAACUUCUCAGUCUACAGAGACAAGAACUUUCAAUACCAUGUGGAAUUGAUGUAUAUACAGCAAGCAUCAUUGUCUCAUUCUUAAAGGAAAAGUUUUAAACACCUUAUUAAGUUAAAUAUUCC